This 79-nucleotide transfer RNA is filed under the name Cinara cedri. It matches the Rfam family "tRNA". From Rfam's summary of the family: Transfer RNA (tRNA) molecules are approximately 80 nucleotides in length. Lineage: Eukaryota; Metazoa; Arthropoda; Insecta; Hemiptera; Aphididae. The record is from Rfam by way of RNAcentral.
GGUAGCGUGGCCGAGCGGUUAAGGCGCUGGUUUUAGGCACCAGUCCGAAAGGGCGUGGGUUCGAAUCCCACCGUUGCCA